UACGUAGGUGGCGAGCGUUAUCCGGAUUCAUUGGGCGUAAAGCGCGCGUAGGCGGCGCGUCAAGCGGGACCUCUAACCCCGGGGCUCAACCCCGGGCCGGGUCCCGGACUGGCGCGCUCGAGUGCGGUAGAGGCGAGUGGAAUUCCCGGUGUAGCGGUGGAAUGCGCAGAUAUCGGGAAGAACACCGAUGGCGAAGGCAGCUCGCUGGGCCGACACUGACGCUGAGGCGCGAAAGCUGGGGGAGCGAACAGG
This 252-nucleotide ribosomal RNA is filed under the name uncultured bacterium. RNAcentral describes it as "partial 16S ribosomal RNA". It matches the Rfam family "Bacterial small subunit ribosomal RNA", at positions 524 to 776 of the family's 1533-position model. The record is from RNAcentral.